Molecule: ribosomal RNA, 209 nt
Filed under: uncultured bacterium
Lineage: Bacteria
Description: partial 16S ribosomal RNA
Rfam family: Bacterial small subunit ribosomal RNA
Source: RNAcentral
UUCGGAUUGUAGGCUGCAACCCGCCUACAUGAAGUUGGAAUUGCUAGUAAUCGCAGAUCAGAAUGCUGCGGUGAAUACGUUCCCGGGCCUUGUACACACCGCCCGUCACACCAUGGGAGCCGGUAAUACCCGAAGUCAGUAGUCUAACCGCAAGGGGGACGCUGCCGAAGGUAGGAUUGGCAACUGGGGUGAAGUCGUAACAAGGUAAC